UACAGAGGGUGCGAGCGUUGUUCGGAAUUACUGGGCGUAAAGCGCGCGCAGGCGGCCUUUUAAGUCUGACGGUGAAAUGCCGGGGCUCAACCCCGUGCCCGCCGCGGAUACUGGGAGGCUGGAGACGAGUAGAGGCAAGCGGAAUUCCGGGUGUAGCGGUGGAAUGCGUAGAGAUCCGGAAGAACACCGGAGGCGAAGGCGGCUUGCUGGGCUCGGUCUGACGCUGAGGCGCGAAAGCGUGGGGAGCGGAACGAG
This 255-nucleotide ribosomal RNA is filed under the name uncultured bacterium. RNAcentral describes it as "partial 16S ribosomal RNA". It matches the Rfam family "Bacterial small subunit ribosomal RNA", at positions 524 to 776 of the family's 1533-position model. The record is from RNAcentral.